This 637-nucleotide ribosomal RNA is filed under the name uncultured bacterium. RNAcentral's name for it is "bacterial SSU rRNA". It matches the Rfam family "Bacterial small subunit ribosomal RNA", at positions 607 to 1244 of the family's 1533-position model. The record is from RNAcentral.
GCUCAACCGAGGAAGUGCUUCGAAAACUGGUAAACUUGAGUGCAGAAGAGGAAAGUGGAACUCCAUGUGUAGCGGUGGAAUGCGUAGAUAUAUGGAAGAACACCAGUGGCGAAGGCGGCUUUCUGGUCUGUAACUGACGCUGAGAUUCGAAAGCAUGGGUAGCAAACAGGAUUAGAUACCCUGGUAGUCCAUGCCAUAAACGAUGAGUGCUAAGUGUUGGAGGGUUUCCGCCCUUCAGUGCUGCAGCUAACGCAUUAAGCACUCCGCCUGGGGAGUACGAUCGCAAGAUUGAAACUCAAAGGAAUUGACGGGGGCCCGCACAAGCGGUGGAGCAUGUGGUUUAAUUCGAAGCAACGCGAAGAACCUUACCAGGUCUUGACAUACCAUGAAAAGCUAAGAGAUUAGUCUUUCCCUUCGGGGACAUGGAUACAGGUGGUGCAUGGUUGUCGUCAGCUCGUGUCGUGAGAUGUUGGGUUAAGUCCCGCAACGAGCGCAACCCUUAUUAUCAGUUGCCAGCAUUCAGUUGGGCACUCUGGUGAGACUGCCGGUGACAAACCGGAGGAAGGUGGGGACGACGUCAAAUCAUCAUGCCCCUUAUGACCUGGGCUACACACGUGCUACAAUGGUCGGUACAACG